UUAAGCUACCAGAGAUGAGUUCUAUUCCGGACAAGCAACCAAAGAUGGACAGGAACUUGACUUCCGGCAGUCAAUCCGAGCAACAACCACGGACCGGCGAUAUCAGUGUAGACGAUUUUGAACCCCUGAGUUGAUAGGAAAAGGAGGCUUCGGGAAGGUUCACUUGGUUAAGCAGAUUAGAGGCUUGAAUGUGGGACAAUAUUACGCGAUGAAGACAAUGAAAAUGAAGAAAAUCACUGCCGACAGAGGAUCUUUGUGGCACACGAUGACGGAGUGCCGCGUGUCAGCGGAGGUAGGCGACAGCACGUUCUUGGUUAAGUCGCACUACACCUUCCAGACGGAAUCUGAUCUGAACCUUGUGAUGGGUGAGUACAUAAAGAACUGCUCUCAUAUUCGGGACAGAACCGCGACUGGGUGUUUGGGUCCUGAAUCGCAAGGAACUGAAGUCUGUAACUACGUUUAGAGCUACACUUUAAAUUUACAUUUUGUCGAAUUUAAUAUGCAAUACACUACUAUUCGCUGACAUCUAGUAAGAGUAAUGGUCCUUAACCUGUUAACGCGGAAAGUUUAAAUACCCCGCAUUUACCGCUGUUGUGCUGUGAUGGCGGUAGUUUUUUUAAAUGUCCAUUUAAAUUUUGCUGUAAAAUACUUUUUUUUAUAACUUUUGAACUAUAUGAGAUAUAAUUAUGAAUUCUUCACUGAAAUCCUCUUUAAAGAUGGUUUUGUAAUCUUACCUUAUAAGAUGAGCACCCUGUGUGUGACCAAUGGGAGCAAGUGGAUCAGAAGUUGAGUUUUGUGUGGUAGUCCUUGGAACAGCCAUCCAUACACAACCCUGCCUCACACUCACUACACCAAUAAGUCGAAUCUUUCCUUCUUCCGCGUUUCCUGCACACCACACAUUUCCUUUGAGGUUUUGCCUUCCUUCCGGUGGCAGGAAUACGCUCCGGAAAAUGUCUUUCUGUCAGUCUUUUAGGUGGCGGCUCAAUUGUCGGACGGCCGUGUACAGGACGAGGAACACCAGAACCGUGUUUUUCUACGAGGCCUUGGGCUAAUGAAAGUCUGAAUUUCAAGGUGUCUAAGGUUUUGG
Non-coding RNA from Zootermopsis nevadensis, 1087 nucleotides. NCBI's taxonomy places the organism in Eukaryota, Metazoa, Arthropoda, Insecta, Blattodea, Termopsidae. The record is from RefSeq and is a predicted model, not a curated record.